UACGUAGGGGGCAAGCGUUGUCCGGAAUCAUUGGGCGUAAAGCGCGCGUAGGCGGCUCGGCAAGUCCGCUGUGAAAGUCAAAGGCUCAACCUUUGAAUGUCAGCGGAUACUGCCGGGCUAGAGUCCGGAAGAGGCGAGUGGAACUCCUGGUGUAGCGGUGGAAUGCGCAGAUAUCAGGAAGAACACCAACGGCGAAGGCAGCUCGCUGGGACGGAACUGACGCUGAGGCGCGAAAGCGUGGGGAGCGAACAGG
This 253-nucleotide ribosomal RNA is filed under the name uncultured bacterium. Its description in RNAcentral is "partial 16S ribosomal RNA". It matches the Rfam family "Bacterial small subunit ribosomal RNA", at positions 524 to 776 of the family's 1533-position model. The record is from RNAcentral.